GGUCUUUCUGCUUGGAAAUAAAACGGAUGCUGCGCAGAGAGAGACCCGGAGUGUGCCCAGGAUGGAAGGGGAAAGGCUGGCAAAGGAAUACAAGGCUGUCUUCUAUGAGUGCAGCGCAAUGACCGGAUAUAACAUCACAGAGCCCAUGUUGCACAUGGCCAGGUUGCUGACAGCACAAGAAGAUAGGCAGAGGGAGAAUGCCCUUCAGCUGGAAGAUGUCAGCAGGAGGAAAGGGUGCUGCGCAUAAGGCACAUCAGUGUGUCAGCAAGAGACGUGCCAACGCUGUUUCAUGAAGCUGGGGUUCCUUUCAAGCAAGCCAAAUCGCAUGAUAUCAGCUCUGCAGAGACUUGGGGAAGCUGCAGCUUUUCCCCAUCUGGGAAUUUCAAGGCACUAAAUCAGGCCAAAAUGUGUGCAUGAUCUGCACUGUUCCAUUUCCCAGCUCUGCAUGAAGCCCUGCUCUCUGGAGGCCCCUGCUUCUUUGAGGGAAUUCAGCUGGUCUUGGCUUAUAGCACAAACUGGGCCUUCUGUCUGGAGAGGCCACUUUCCUGUAAAAGGAUGGUAUCUUACUCCUUUUCUUUCUGGCAAAGAAAUGACCUUUGGUCAUUUGUGGUCCUUGGACCACAUGGUUUAGGGCAAGGUGUCCCUGCCCAUGGCAGGGGGGUUGGAACUAGAUGAUCUUAAGGUCCUUUCCAACCCUUACUAUUCUAUGAUUCUAUUCUAUGAUUCUAUGACCUAGUGGCGAAGAGUGGAAGACACAGUGGGUGCUAUGUUAAAUAGAAUUUUAGUGUAAGAGUAAAGAAAUUACUUUAAAUUUGGGCUAGCUCUAGGUAGUGAUCCGUCAUCUCACAGAGCAUCUCCUCUUGGUCCUCUAACAGCAGAGCCCAGCUGAAAGCCUGCUGUGGUAAGUGGGAGAACCUCCAUCUGCUCCUGUAAGAGCUGGAUCAGCCACUGUAUUUACUGCAAAAUUUGGUUUGACUGGCCAAUAUUGUAGUUAACUGAUUCCAUAUGUGGGUAUAGUAUGAACUGAUAAGUGAGUCAUCCCAAAGGCUUUCUUCACUUUGUUAUCCUAACGGAAUGUUACUGCCCCUCUCUUACUGUUUACAGAACACAGAGCAGUUGCCCUGGGACUCGCAGGCGCUGGCACAUGUUGCUGAUUCAUAACCUGUUGCAGGAGCUGUGCUGUACAUACUGGGGAGGGGUCAUAUACAGCCUGUUUUAAGGCUUAAAGCUGCCAGUUUCCUCCCAUUCUCUUAUAAUUUCCUGAAGAAACCUCCAGCAAUUAGGAACUGACUUAUCUGUGGUACUGCAAGAUCCCACCCUUGACCACAGUGCUUUCAACUGUAUCUGGGUUGGAAGCACAAGGCAGUUAGCUGCCUGUGUGAAAUGUAUCUAGUGAAGCUUUUUCUCUUGUAGCGACCUUGUGCAAUAACCUCACUUUCCUGCUGAAGUGCCUGAGAAAGAGCAGGACAACCUGUUCCCGUUGGGAAGGGCCCCACUAAGGAGUGGGGCAAAGCACCGUGAGGGGAGGUGCAGGCUGAGGUAGGAACUGGCCCCAAAUGUGCACCUCUGGGCAUAGCCGCUGCGUUGCCUGGGCAUGAAGCCCCUGGUGUUCUCUGGGUGUGCUGCUUUCUGUUCUGUAGUUCAGUUGCUCUUAAAGCCUUGUGGGAUUAAGUGAGCUUUGUUGUAAUGCCCUCUUGCCUUUCUUCUUUGAGCCUGUUUCUGACUGUGACUUUGACAUUUUAGGUGCAAGAUGUGAUAGUGCAGCUGUCACGCAGUCCCCCAACCUUGCAGCAUAAGGAAGGCCUAUAUUUAUCCACUGUCUUUCCUCUCUUGGGAUAAAGUGAUUACUUUGAAUGUUUGUUUAUUGCACAGAUUUCUCUGGAAAUAUCCCAUGCAGGAAAAGUACUCUGAGUCACCUACAGCUCAUCAGUGCUACAAAGAAUUUCCAUGGUUCCUCCCAGCCCCCAUUAUUCCUGAUAGGAAAGAGGAAGUCCUUCUCCAGAAGAGCAGGACUCCUGACUAAAAGGAAUAGCUAAAAGUAAUAGGCCCCUGCUCAGCCCUUACUGCCAGCUGGCUGUGUUUCAUGCUGUGUUUAACUACAGUAAUGCCUUUCAGAGACUGAGAAUCAGAAAGGUAGAAGAGGUCCAGAAGGAACCAGGGUAACUGUGCUGCGAGUGGAAUUGCUUCUAUUUGCAAGAAAUGAUGUUUGGGAAGGGAAGUCCUCUCUGUUUUCAGAAAACACCUGUAAUCUGAAAGUAGACAUGACUUUCUGGCUCUCUAGCCAACGUGCGUGUAAAGGAACACAGCCAUUAUCACCUGCUGAAUAGGUUAAACCCACUAGCUGAGUUGGAGGAGCUGCUGUCAAUGAUUCCUCUGCAUCAUGCUCCAGUUGCAGGUUAAUAAGGAGUGGUACUAACUAAGAAAUGGCAUCUUUGGUCAGGGCACAUCAGUAAUGCUAACAUUUAUCUACCCGCAGCAGGAGGAUUUGGGAAGUUGCUGCAGAAGGAAGAGAGCAGUACCCAGCCUGUUAACGUGGUCUGAACACACACCUCCCACACUACAUACAGAAGCACAUGGAAGACAAAGGUGUGAAAUACAGCUGACACACAAAUAUGGGCCAGUCUAUAUAUUACCUUUGUCAUCAGUACUGUCAUAUUGCAUUGGCAAGAAUGAUCACAUGGGGUUUUUAUAAUGUACAACCUUAAGCAUGUUUUCUUAGUGUGCAAGCAGAGUACGGGCAAUAAAGAAAUGCUGUCUUAU
Molecule: long non-coding RNA, 2760 nt
Organism: Strigops habroptila (Kakapo)
Lineage: Eukaryota; Metazoa; Chordata; Aves; Psittaciformes; Psittacidae
Source: Ensembl